RNAcentral lists this long non-coding RNA (1273 nucleotides) under Gallus gallus (chicken). Its description in RNAcentral is "lncRNA (ENSGALG00010017348.1)". The record is from RNAcentral. Lineage: Eukaryota; Metazoa; Chordata; Aves; Galliformes; Phasianidae.
CUCUUACUGAAGCUCUUUUCAAAGGCAUGCAUUCUGCUAAUCGAAAUUCACUCAACUGAGGCUGCCCUUUCAUAAACAGUUCUAGACAGAUGACUUCUCCCUCAGAUGGAUUCCCAGAUAAUCAGUUAGUUAAGUUUUCCUGUCCCAGACUUUGACUUUUUUCUUUUUUUUUUUUUGUUAUGGGUAUUCAACAUGAUAAUAUCAUGAAGUAAGUGCAGCCUUGGUUGUAGGUUAACUCCUCAUUUCAAAUUUCAAGAUGAAGAGAAUAGCAGACAAGCUAUGGGAAGGGUGCUCUGCAACCUCGGAUUUGAAGCCUAGAAAAGGAAGUCUCUGGACCUGAUAAAGCUGUUACUUUUGAAAACAAGCUUAAGUCAACAGGACUUACUUCAGAAACUCCAAUAAUCCUAUGGAGCAGCAAACUGCAAAGAAAUAUCUUGACAGAGUAAUAUUUUUAAUCUCCAAAAAUAUUAUAUUGCCUAUGGGCACUGGGUUAAACAACCCCUACGGGGCCUGCCUAACCAAUUCUGUGUAACCAAUCCUUAUAUCUCCAAUGUGAAUACAUCUUUCUCACAGAUGGAUAACAGGUGCUCAGCUGUUGGAAAGGACAAGGAUUCAUGGGCCUGGAAGGUUCAGUGCUUUUGCAAUAUGUUCCCACUGAACUUGAUCAUCUGUGGCCCAGGCAGACACACUGGACCGGAUCUCUAUGCCAUAUACAGAAGCUAAGGGAAGAUAGCUUCACGCUGGAAGUACAACCUUUACAGAAGCUUACAGAUUUUUUACACGUUCUUUGGAGACUGACUUGUGCUUGCUCCUCCUAGUCUCAAAGUAUGCUUGAUGAUUGUGCAAGGGGAAUGCCAAAGUGAAAUGAAGCUGCUAUACUUCGUUAUCCAGCAUUUAAAAGGAGAAAGAAAGGAAUCCUUUAGGAACAAGUCAAGGGUACUCACAUAACUGAGUAUUAUUAACAUAGGGCUUGUUUUGAGUGAGAUUACAUUUUAUUUAAUAUUAAUGCUAUUACCUCUAAUAAUAAUAAAUGUUAGGAGAUAUUAUUUGUGGAGACAGUCAAUGACAGUGGAUAGAUAAGCUGAGAAACUCAGUUAUUUUUUAAAGCAGAUAAACAACAGUUGUGCAACACAAUAUAAAAAAAACAAAUGUAUUUAUUCCGUUGAUUUGGCUACAAUAACUUGAACUACUCCUUGCUAGUUAUGAAGAUUAGUUAAUGUACUUAUUUGUAUUACAUGUUCAAACAAAAAAUGUGUGUAAAAAUAUUUUAAAG